AUGCAGGCAGUACAGACCCGUAAUCUUCGGGAAACCCAGCUAGGAGGAGUGAUCUUUGGUUGCAAGCAUGAGACAAUUGAAGAGUGCUUCAAUAAACAGCUGUUUGGUCUGCCUGCGUUGCAUUAUUCAUAUGUGAGGAAUGUCAAAGCUGGCCUACCUUUAUUUCUAUUCAACUACACUGACAGAAAGCUGCAUGGUGUUUUUGAGGCUGCCAGUCCUGGUCAGAACUCCAUUGACCCAUAUGCUUGGAGUAAUGAUGGCACUUUAAGGACACCUUUUCCUGCACAGGUUCGCAUUUGCACAAGGACUCGCUAUCAGCCACUCUUUGAGGUCCAAUACAAAAAAGUGAUUCAAGAUAAUUAUUAUACACAUCACUACUUCUAUUUUGAGCUAGACCAUGCACAAACUAGAGCUUUAAUUGCUUUGUUCAAGUCAGUUGGUCCUCUCAAUUUCAAGCAAGUCCCAGCUGUUUCAAGCAAAAGGAGUCUGCCUGUACCUUUACCAUCAACUAACAGGAUGUCAUCAGGUAUUCCUGUCCAAAAGAAAGGCACAGCCAAUUUGAAGGACAUCAAUCCAUCUAGUGUUCUAUCAACUUCUUUACCAUCAACUAAAAGGGUGGCAUCAGUUACCCCGCACCAAAAGAAAGGCAGAGCCAAUUCAAAGGACAUCAACCCGUUUAGUGUUCUUUCAAGUUCAAGUGGAAUUGUUCCAGAUGACUGGGUUGAUUCUGAUGUGGAUAGUGGCAGUGUUACUGGAACAUCAGACAGCAAAACUGAUGGGAAGACAUCUGGAGAGCUAGUUUCUGACUGGGAGGAUUUGGAUGACAAUGAUUUUCAGAACCAGUUUGGUCCAGAUGAGGCCAGUCAACAUUCCUCGUACAAAAGUGUUGCUGACGGAAUGGAGCUUAUGCAGUGCAAUGAACCGGUUGCCAAUCCUGUGAAUGGAGGAAGUCAUUCUUCUAAUGGAGACAUGCUUGUGAACUCACACAAUGGAAUAGGCAAUGGGCUUCAAAAUGAAUCAGAUGGUGUUGGGGUACAGCUUGAAAGAUCGUCUAUCCUGAAAAAACUGAAGGAGUUGGUUGACUUAAGACAGCAGGCAGCACUAUCAUCCCAUGAUUUUGUUUAUUCUAGUCCAGAUGUGUAUGUACCUGAAGAAACACAGGUUAAUGCGAACCUUUCUGGUCAGGAUGAGUAUGUAUCUGAAAAAACACAGAUCAGUGCAAACCUUUCUAGCCAAGAUGAGUAUGUACCUGAAGAAACACGGGUCAACACAAGCCUUCCUAGUCAAGAUGAAUAUGUUGCUGAAGAAAUACAGGUCAAUGCAAAACUUUCUAGUCAAGAUGAAUAUGUACCUGAAGAAACACAGGUCAAUGGAAGCUUUCCUUGCCAAGAUCAAAAGGUUGCUGAAGAAACACAUGUGAAUGUAGACCUUCCUAUUCAAGAUCAAUAUGUACCUGAAGAAGCACAGGCCAAUGCAAGCCUUUCUACUCCCAGCCAUCAUGUACCUGAAGAAACACAGGCCAAUUCAAGCCUUUCCAACAAGCCAUUAUGUUCUACCGUGGAAGAUAAUUCAUCUUUUGAGCAACAUCAAGCAAAGGCUGAGCUUCUACGAAUCAUCACUGACUUGGCCAAGAAGGCUGAUGCACUGGAGAAGAAUCAGAUUAAAUCAGAUCAAGAAAUCAUUUCGUUGAAGGAAGUAGUUAAAGACUCUGGAAGAAAAGUUCAGCAACUGGAAUAUCGCAUAGAUGAGUUACAAUUCAAAUUUGACUCCUCCUUGUCUCUUCAAGGAAGCAUGUGCGAUAAUCUGGACAUGCCAGCAAUAUUCCUGAUCGGUGGUUAUAAUGGUGUGACCUGGUUAUCAUCUCUUGAUUCCUUCUCUCCAAAAAAAGACAUCCUUGUGUCUCUCACAUCGAUGGGCUCUGCGCGUUCAUAUGCAUCUGUUGCCGCAAUGGAAGGCUGUAUAUUUGUUUUUGGUGGUGGGGAUGGAAGUUCAUGGUAUAACACAGCGGAAUGCUAUAAUACAAGGAGUAAUGAGUGGAUGAUAUGCCCCUGUUUGAACCAUGAGAAAGGAUCUCUUGCUGGAGUAAGUCUUAAUGGCAAAAUAUAUGCGAUGGGUGGAGGAGAUGGAACACAAACUUUUUCAGAAGUUGAGAUGUUUGAUCCUUUUCUUGGGAAGUGGAUAUGUAGUCCGUCUAUGCUGCAACCAAGAUUUGCUCUAGCAGCAGCAGAAUCGAGUGGUGUCAUCUAUGCAUCUGGUGGAUUCGAUGGUAGCAAGUAUUUACAGUCAGCAGAAAGGUAUGAUCCAAGGGAGGGUUUCUGGGUUAAGCUCCCAAGCAUGAAAGCAAGGAGAGGAUGUCAUGCUGUAGCUGUCCUGGGAGAAGUCCUAUAUGCUAUUGGAGGGUAUGAUGGGGACAGCAUGGUUUCCAGUGUUGAGAUCUUUGAUCCUCGCCUCAACGCCUGGGGGAUGGGUGAUCCCAUGAGCAACCCAAGAGGAUACGCCUCUGCGGUUACUUUUGAUGAUAGCUUGUUUGUCCUCGGCGGUCUGCGGUCCAACGAACAGAUACUGGACACUGUGGAAGUCUACAAUGUGAACUCCGGCUGGUCAGUGCCAGGUUUCAAUUCAAUAGGGAAGAGAUCUUUUGCAUCUGCCAUUGUCAUGUGA
RNAcentral lists this ribosomal RNA (2661 nucleotides) under Triticum aestivum (bread wheat). Its description in RNAcentral is "partial small subunit ribosomal RNA". The record is from RNAcentral. Lineage: Eukaryota; Viridiplantae; Streptophyta; Magnoliopsida; Poales; Poaceae.